This is a long non-coding RNA of Camarhynchus parvulus, 3341 nucleotides long. RefSeq lists it as uncharacterized. The record is from RefSeq and is a predicted model, not a curated record. The transcript is spliced from 3 exons. NCBI's taxonomy places the organism in Eukaryota, Metazoa, Chordata, Aves, Passeriformes, Thraupidae.
GGAGCGCGGGGGAUGCAGCGUGGUUUAAAAAUACAAAGGGAGCAGGGCCGGCAGCGGCGGUUCCGUCAGCUCUGCCCCUCAGCUUUGCCUGCCUGGCUUGGGGCGGCCGGGGCAGCAGCGCCGCCCUCUGCCUCCGUCCUUCCCUCCGUGGGGUGGGGGUCUGGCGGGAAGCAGCGGCUGGCUGUAAAGCUGAGCUGCCAGUUGGGUUUCGGCGCCCAGGCUAGCCCAAUUUCUGAGGGUCCCCCAAGCGGCCCGGCCCGACCCGCUGCGGGGUAGGGGCUGCGGUGGUGCCCGCCCCGGGUUCCCCACGGAAGGAGAGUGUGUGGUUUGUAGCGAUGCCUGGGCAGAGAGAGCUCCUGCCCCCCUCUCCCCGGCUAGAGGGGCUUGGAAGAGCCUGGGGCUGCCUGUGAGAGCUGCGUUCCCCCACUCAGGCUGGGGCAGAGGCAGCGGCGCAGGGAAGGGAAGGUGUCGGCUCUCCGAGCUUGGUGCUCCCUGUAAAGCGCAAGCUGCAGCAGUGGAAAGCCUGGGACCUAGUCUCGGUCGAACUGAGGUUUUAAUGCAAGCCACGCCCGUGGUUUGCGUGAGUGCUUUCAAGUGUACCGCUAGCAGCAAAUCUGGCCCUUUGGGUUUGGGAAGAGAACUGGUUUCCAUACGGUCACUUAUACUGCGAUGUCACCCCAGACUACAUUAUACUGGUUUUGCUGACGUUGGUUUUCUUCUGUCUGAUUAUUUUCAUCCAAACUUUAGGUAAAUAUUCUUAGUAAUCUAAGUGGUUUUAACACUCUUGUUUUUUCAGGUGUAGUUUAUGGCCGUAGUGAGAAGCAGGUUAUUACUUUGUUUACUGAAGAUGUGGUGCCUUCAGUAGAACUUUGAUCAUGUUAUCCUUCCUCGACGCUCUAAAGUCUUCUGGGAGAGAGAAUAGUGGGAGCUGACAAGGUGGUGUGUCGUGGGCUGCGAGAGGAAGGAGCCAGCAGAGAUGAGCAGGAUAAUUUCAGGUGCUGAACACAAGUGCACGAAUGUACCCUUGCACUUCAAGUGAAUGGUACCUGCUGGGGAAGGGAAUCAUCCUCCCCAGCUGAACUUUUUGCCAUGGAAAUGCAUACAAAGUUGCAAGAGCCACAUUCUUCUUCCAGGAGUGAUCACCAGCAAUGUGUUUGCAAUGCACUUGCAAUAUAUCCAAGGUGAUGCAUCUGAUUAUCAUUCUUCUCUCUCAAAUUACAAAACACAUCAAUCAAAAGCUAACAGGAGCUGGGACAUAUGGCAUCUCAGAGAAGAACAAGCUGCUGGGCUCCCACCUGUGCCUGGCCUGCCUCGGUGCCAGGAGGGGCCACUGACUCCCGCUGACUUCAGAGCCUUGGAGUUGUGAAUCCAGACUUUUUGGGAUGCUGUAGCUCCUGCUCUUUCUGCAUGUCACUUACAAGUCAUCCAUGCUGUGUUCUUGGCACCCCCAAGGGAUAAAAAUUACUGCUGCCUUCUGUACUACUCAGUUCUGCUCUGAGUACUAGUGACAUGUCAUGUACAGGGUAGUUGGUUUGGAGCUGCUGUUUCCUUUGAACUGAUGUAAUUUUUGAAGUUUAAUCAGUGUAUGAUUGCAAUGCUGCAUGUUUUUUUGUUCAUUUAAAAUAUGUCCCCAUACAUGCUUUAUUUCUAUCUGAAUACUUACGGUACCCAGUACUAGAGUUUAUGUUAAAAAUUUGUAAUUUUAGACAACAUACUCCACAAUGAUUUUUCUUUUUAUUUCAUGUAGCCCAAGCUUCAUGAAAGUUUGCAAAUCCAUUUUGUAGUAAGUAAGCUUCAUACUGUCUGAUAAGCCCAUGUAGCUGCAGCUCUUUGUAUUUUUCAUCCCACAUGUGAUGCAAGAUUAAAAGUGACGCAAUUUCUUUGUUACUGUAAGCAAACGUUCAUACCAAAUGAGGUGGUCAUCCCCAGUCACAGUUGUGCCCUCCUACUGGGGCAUCCUGCAACUGAGUGGUAAACCAGAUCAGGAUUAAAUCCACAUGAUUUUUCUUGUUGCUAGCCUAGCUGUAACCCAACAGAGUUUGCUGUGCAGCCACAGCAAUGUUUUUAUGGGCACAAAGAGGCACAGGGCACAGGUGUGAAAAUGAGCAGCUUACAGCAGAAACAGAACCAUCUUUCUAAGUCCCAUGACUCUCUUAUCGUGACCUAAUCAUGAAACUAUGAUACUACUUUAUUUGAAAUUACGCUUAUAAAUUAGCAACUUGGCAACCAUGGCUGGGUAACAUAAUCAGGCUUUUAACUGCUCCCAAACUGUACAAAGAGGAUCAGAAACAUUUAAAAUGCACAAGUGAUCUUUCCAUCAAAGCAAACAACAGCAGACAGACAUAUUUUAUGCUCACAGUAACGUCAAAUCCAUCUGAAAAAAAAAAACCAACCAAAAAACAAAAGGACCUCAAAAGACAUAGUCCAAGAGUCUAGAAAUUGCUAUUCAUGACUCAGAUUUCCACUGAAGAAUUCCUGGAACUCACCCUUGUCCCACUUUUCCCAGAUUUUAACGUUUGCUAUGAUUGUUAUUGGGGGUUUUGUUCUUUUUUAUCUUAACAUUAUUCGUUUUCGAAAGUUUGAAAUCACAAGAAACUAAAAAAGUGAGUUAAACCUUUGCUGCCUGAGAUUGCUCAGCAGUGGAGCGUGGAAAUAGCCUAGGUGUUAUACAGUCUUCAGCUUGGCUGAUAACAAAGCAGAGCUCAGUAUUUUUUCCAACUCUCCUCCAAUUCCCGUCGCUAAUCUCUGAAACGUGCCCCGUGAAUAACUACUGUGACUUUAGCUCAGUGCAGCUUCAGUUACUGUAUCCUUCUUUCAGCUGCGGCUGUGGGACCGACCCUUAUUCUCUAAUACCAGGUUACGCAAUCAGAUUAAGGAGCCAUCUGCAGCACAAACUGAAACUGCUCUAUAAUCGUGUUCCCGGCUCAGGCAGAACUUUGGCUUACGCAGGAUCUGUGUCUCCUUGAAUUAUACACCAGCCUCCCUGCUACUUCUCUCCUUCUUCAAGUUGGAAAUGCACAGCAAGCGAUACGGUCAAAUAUUUCAGCGAUUAAAUCAUUGCGCUUUGAGCACGCUCAGCUCAGAUGCCGCUUCUAAGAUUUAAAGGAAUAUUUGCGGUAGUUCAAAGGGAAAAAGCAAAACCUCUCCCUUCCUUGUGCCUCCUUUGAAUGUGCUUGAAAGGACAGUAGAUCAGAGCUUGCUGCUUUUGCCACUCUGCUGUCAACAGCUGAAUUGUUAAAUGAUUUAAUGCCAAUGCAUCUCUUAUGUAGCUUUGUAAAGCCUCAAAACUAAAAAUACCUGCUUUUGUCAGCUAUUCUCAGUGUGUCUAUUUUACCUAGUCG